This 253-nucleotide ribosomal RNA is filed under the name uncultured bacterium. Its description in RNAcentral is "partial 16S ribosomal RNA". It matches the Rfam family "Bacterial small subunit ribosomal RNA", at positions 524 to 776 of the family's 1533-position model. The record is from RNAcentral.
UACGUAGGGUGCAGGCGUUAAUCGGAAUUACUGGGCGUAAAGCGUGCGCAGGCGGUUUCUUAAGUCAGAUGUGAAAGCCCCGGGCUUAACCUGGGAACUGCGUUUGAAACUGGGAGACUAGAGUGUGGCAGAGGGGGGUGGAAUUCCACGUGUAGCAGUGAAAUGCGUAGAUAUGUGGAGGAACACCGAUGGCGAAGGCAGCCCCCUGGGUUAACACUGACGCUCAGGCACGAAAGCGUGGGGAGCAAACAGG